GUGAACAGAUUCCUUGAACUUCUCUUCAUCUAAGAACUGGAGGAUUAAGAAAACUAACUCUCUGCUCAGAGACGACAUUUCAUUAACCUCUCCAAGGUUCGGAUCUGGUGUGUUUCGUCAGAGACGGGUUUUGAUUAAGUCGUCGUCUGGAAAUGGUUUUCUAGGGUUUUUUGUUCUCCUCCAUCUACAAACGAAAAAGGCUGACCCUCAGAGACAGAGAUAGAAGGUUGAUAAGUUAUCUCACUUAUCAGUGAUAAGCGCUCUUGGUUUUAUAUAAGCUGAUAACCUCGUUGAUCUGCGCUGUUUGGUCUGAUCCUUUUGCUUGGAUUUUAUCUGAUGCGCUUACGCCCACGAAAAAGCGGAAGUGUGGAUCCAAGAACUCUAUGAGGAAGGAUUUGGGUUAGCCAUCCAGCCAGCUAGAGCAUUGGGAUUAGGAGCCGGAGCAGGAGUAGGUUGAAAGGGCUGUGCACAUACAUCACAGUUUCAUUAACUCUCAAAAUCUAAAACAUUGAAGUAAUAAUAAUAGAAAAAGAGAAGUAAGAAAGUAAGAGAUCCUAACUCCACCAUGUACUCCAAGAGGAACAAAGUUAGAAGGUCUAGCAACAGCCGCAACAGGAAGAUUCACAGGAGUGAGUGCACGAGCACCACCGUUUGCUGCAUUGCAAGAGUGAUCCAAGAACAAUGUCUUGAUGUCAGGAUUAGGCCUCGGGUUUUUACAUAGCUGGUGCUGCCAAUUCAAGCUGCAACACCAAAAUAAAAACAUUAAACACUUAAACUCAUCUCUCUUUCAAUAAAGAAAGCAUCUUAAUUCACCUUUGAUUAAUCAAAGUUCUCAGGCGAGAAGCCUUGAAGCUAGGGAAGGCUAGCUUCUCUCUAAACAGAGGAUUCGCCUCGAUGAGCUUCUUCAACUCAGUGUACAUUAUAUUCCUCGCUGACUUUGUAUCACCAUACUUAGACAAUUGCUCGUUCUCCCUGUGGACAUAUAACAAAACACUAAAGGGUCUGCCUUACAAAUUAUUUAAAUGCAAAUUAACUUACCUGAAAUUCUCAAGAGUGAGAAGCUGAGUAAUCUCUUUGUAAAGCUCCUCGUUAAAGGUAGCAAAGACUUUCAAGUCUUUAGCUAAUAUCUCAACAGCUUUUGCUCUGUCAUUACUGAAAAACAAAACGGUAACUAUCAUUAAUUCAACAACACACCAAAACAGCAAACGACUAAAAAAGAGUAAGUAAACAAUUUACCGAUCUAGAGCUUCGAGAUACUUUUGCUUCCUGAUCUCGAAGAAAAUCUUCAUAGAGUAACGAUUAUCAUCAACUUUGGUAAACCCUGAGAGAUACUUCUCCACUUCAUCCCACUCACCAGCUAAAGCUUUCUCUUCAAAGUACUUUAUAUUAAAGUAGAACCCAGAUUCCUGCUCUAGCCUUUUAACACACAAACACAAAUCAAAGCCAAAUUUACAAAACUCAUCCAACACAAAACCUUAACAGACAAAGAACAAGAAGACUUACUUGUGAACAGAUUCCUUGAACUUCUCUUCAUCUAAGAACUGAAGGAUCAAGAAAACUAACUCUCUGCUCAGAGACGACAUUUCAUUAACCUCUCCAAGGUUCGGAUCUGGUGUGUUUCGUCAGAGACGGGUUUUGAUUAAGUCGUCGUUUGGAAAAUGGUUUUCUAGGGUUUUUUGUUCUCCUCCAUCUACAAACGAAAAAGGCUGACCCUCAGAGACAGGAUAGAAGGUUGAUAAGUUGUCACCCUUAUUUGUCACGCUUAUCAGUGAUAAGCGCUCUUGGUUUUAUAUAAGCUGAUAACCUCGUUGAUCUGCGCUGUUUGGUCUGAUCCUUUUGCUUGGAUUUUAUCUGAUGCGCUUACGCCCACGAAAAAGCGGAAGUGUGGAUCCAAGAACUCGCUGUCGGUAGUUUAUUAUAACACGUGGCGGAUUAUUGUGCGGAUCUGUUAAAUGAAAACGGUGAGAUGCGAAGUAGAGGAUAAUUACUCGUAAGUGGACGCGGAUCCGAGAGAUGGAAUUGAAGUGGAUUGAGCAGAGUUCAGUUGCGUCCGCCACAUGUUACGUUGUCAGGGGGGGAUGACGUGGUCUCGGUAUCUCCGUUCAUCUCGUAGCGCGAUUUUAUCGUGAGAAAUAUGAGAGAUCGUCUCGCUAUUACUACUUGAAAGUUACAGGGCUGCUACCAAGUCGAGCUAAUACUUUGUCGACUGGUUAUUAAAAUAUUAGUUGUACGUGAGCUGAUUUAUAAUGAAAACAGUCUUUUUUUUUGCGUGUAAAUGUUAAGAUAAAAAGAGCAAUUUACUGGAUAUUCAAGCAUAAAAAUGAAGAAUAUACUCAUUCUACGGUAUUAUAUUUUCGAUGUGAUAAGUUACGCCAAAAAUAAUUUUUUUUGGAGCGCGUGCGCAUGGAGAAAAAAUACAAAGUGAAAAAAAAAAUAGACAGUAGACUAUAUUAUAUUCAAUGUAGUAUGGUUACAUUAUCGAACAUACAAAUGACCUCUAAUUACAAUAUGUUUAUACUUCUAUAUGUCACUGCAUAAGUUCUAAGUGGUGUACUGUAUUUGUUGUGAGAAAGAAAAGAUGAUUCAAUGUGGAAACAGAUGAAUAAACUACUUUAAGAAACAUGGAAAUAAACUGUUGUAAAGUGUAUUUGUAAGCUAUAUUAUAUUACAAACGUUAUAGUAUUGUAGUUGUUAUGAGCCAUGUAAAUCAUAAUGUGUAAGAGAACAUACUAUUUGCGGAGGUGUUUGUUGCACUAUCGCCGGAGUUGCCCACUUUUCAAUUAUGAAACUUAAUUAUACUAUAUUUGAUACUAUAACACAUUGUAUAUUUAAAUGGUAUAGUCUUUGUUUUACUGGUUCAAGGUGUUUAACUUUUUGACCAUUGCCAAUUUUGGUAAUAUAUUAUAUGGUAUGUAAUCGCUUAUAAUUGCUUAGUUUUAAUCCAUAUUCAAAACCGAGGCUGAACAGUCGAUUAUGCAGCCGCAAAAACGCUCCUCGGAGUCCAACUAUGACAUUUUGACCAACUCGGUAAUUAAAAUCGAUCAAUGGUCAAUAAACCAUUUAAUGCCAACUGAUUGCCAUCUAAUCGGAUUAAUAACCGAUUUAUUGCUAAAUAAAUUUGACUAAAGCCCAACUUAAAUACGGACCCGACUAUAUUAUAGCCCAUUUGCGUUUUCUUAAGAAAACAACAUGUCUUAUUUAUAAGGAGUGUAUUCUUGACAAACUUCAACAUGCUCAAUGUAGGAUGUUUAAAUUUGUCUCUCAUUAAAAUUUUAAAAUAAUCAAUCAAAACUAUCGCUUUAGAGAAUUGAAGCCAAUACUCAAAGUCAACCAUGCAUCUACCACUAGGCUACAUUAUAAUAUCACUGCCCUUCCUCCAAACAAACUAAUGUACAUAUAUAUUUGAAAAUAAAGAAAAUGUUAAAAAUAAAUCCAUGAUUAAUCUCUGAUCUUCAUAGAGUAACGAUUAUCAUCAACUUUGGUAAACCCUGAGAGAUACUUCUCCACUUCAUCCCACUCACCAGCUAAAGCUUUCUCUUCAAAGUACUUUAUAUUAAAGUAGAACCCAGAUUCCUGCUCUAGCCUUUUAACACACAAACACAAAUCAAAGCCAAAUUUACAAAACUCAUCCAACACAAAACCUUAACAGACAAAGAACAAGAAGACUUACUUGUGAACAGAUUCCUUGAACUUCUCUUCAUCUAAGAACUGAAGGAUCAAGAAAACUAACUCUCUGCUCAGAGACGACAUUUCAUUAACCUCUCCAAGGUUCGGAUCUGGUGUGUUUCGUCAGAGACGGGUUUUGAUUAAGUCGUCGUUUGGAAAAUGGUUUUCUAGGGUUUUUUGUUCUCCUCCAUCUACAAACGAAAAAGGCUGACCCUCAGAGACAGGAUAGAAGGUUGAUAAGUUGUCACCCUUAUUUGUCACGCUUAUCAGUGAUAAGCGCUCUUGGUUUUAUAUAAGCUGAUAACCUCGUUGAUCUGCGCUGUUUGGUCUGAUCCUUUUGCUUGGAUUUUAUCUGAUGCGCUUACGCCCACGAAAAAGCGGAAGUGUGGAUCCAAGAACUCUUUGUCGGUAGCUUGUUAUAACACGUGGCGGGUUAUAGUGCGGAUCUGUUAAAUGAAAAAGGUAGGAUGCGAAGUAGAGGAUAAUUACUCGUAAGUGGACGCGGAUCCGAGAGAUGGAAUUGAAGUGGAUUGAGCAGAGUUCAGUUGCGUCCGCCACAUGUUACGUUGUCAGGGGGGGAUGACGUGGUCUCGGUAUCUCCGUUCAUCUCGUAGCGCGAUUUUAUCGUGAGAAAUAUGAGAGAUCGUCUCGCUAUUACUACUUGAAAGUUACAGGGCUGCUACCAAGUCGAGCUAAUACUUUGUCGACUGGUUAUUAAAAUAUUAGUUGUACGUGAGCUGAUUUAUAAUGAAAACAGUCUUUUUUUUUGCGUGUAAAUGUUAAGAUAAAAAGAGCAAUUUACUGGAUAUUCAAGCAUAAAAAUGAAGAAUAUACUCAUUCUACGGUAUUAUAUUUUCGAUGUGAUAAGUUACGCCAAAAAUAAUUUUUUUUGGAGCGCGUGCGCAUGGAGAAAAAAUACAAAGUGAAAAAAAAAAUAGACAGUAGACUAUAUUAUAUUCAAUGUAGUAUGGUUACAUUAUCGAACAUACAAAUGACCUCUAAUUACAAUAUGUUUAUACUUCUAUAUGUCACUGCAUAAGUUCUAAGUGGUGUACUGUAUUUGUUGUGAGAAAGAAAAGAUGAUUCAAUGUGGAAACAGAUGAAUAAACUACUUUAAGAAACAUGGAAAUAAACUGUUGUAAAGUGUAUUUGUAAGCUAUAUUAUAUUACAAACGUUAUAGUAUUGUAGUUGUUAUGAGCCAUGUAAAUCAUAAUGUGUAAGAGAACAUACUAUUUGCGGAGGUGUUUGUUGCACUAUCGCCGGAGUUGCCCACUUUUCAAUUAUGAAACUUAAUUAUACUAUAUUUGAUACUAUAACACAUUGUAUAUUUAAAUGGUAUAGUCUUUGUUUUACUGGUUCAAGGUGUUUAACUUUUUGACCAUUGCCAAUUUUGGUAAUAUAUUAUAUGGUAUGUAAUCGCUUAUAAUUGCUUAGUUUUAAUCCAUAUUCAAAACCGAGGCUGAACAGUCGAUUAUGCAGCCGCAAAAACGCUCCUCGGAGUCCAACUAUGACAUUUUGACCAACUCGGUAAUUAAAAUCGAUCAAUGGUCAAUAAACCAUUUAAUGCCAACUGAUUGCCAUCUAAUCGGAUUAAUAACCGAUUUAUUGCUAAAUAAAUUUGACUAAAGCCCAACUUAAAUACGGACCCGACUAUAUUAUAGCCCAUUUGCGUUUUCUUAAGAAAACAACAUGUCUUAUUUAUAAGGAGUGUAUUCUUGACAAACUUCAACAUGCUCAAUGUAGGAUGUUUAAAUUUGUCUCUCAUUAAAAUUUUAAAAUAAUCAAUCAAAACUAUCGCUUUAGAGAAUUGAAGCCAAUACUCAAAGUCAACCAUGCAUCUACCACUAGGCUACAUUAUAAUAUCACUGCCCUUCCUCCAAACAAACUAAUGUACAUAUAUAUUUGAAAAUAAAGAAAAUGUUAAAAAUAAAUCCAUGAUUAAUCUCUGAUCUUCAUAGAGUAACGAUUAUCAUCAACUUUGGUAAACCCUGAGAGAUACUUCUCCACUUCAUCCCACUCACCAGCUAAAGCUUUCUCUUCAAAGUACUUUAUAUUAAAGUAGAACCCAGAUUCCUGCUCUAGCCUUUUAACACACAAACACAAAUCAAAGCCAAAUUUACAAAACUCAUCCAACACAAAACCUUAACAGACAAAGAACAAGAAGACUUACUUGUGAACAGAUUCCUUGAACUUCUCUUCAUCUAAGAACUGAAGGAUCAAGAAAACUAACUCUCUGCUCAGAGACGACAUUUCAUUAACCUCUCCAAGGUUCGGAUCUGGUGUGUUUCGUCAGAGACGGGUUUUGAUUAAGUCGUCGUUUGGAAAAUGGUUUUCUAGGGUUUUUUGUUCUCCUCCAUCUACAAACGAAAAAGGC
This 6041-nucleotide long non-coding RNA is filed under the name Brassica napus (rape). RNAcentral's name for it is "long non-coding RNA (BNAP_LNC004620)". Lineage: Eukaryota; Viridiplantae; Streptophyta; Magnoliopsida; Brassicales; Brassicaceae. The record is from RNAcentral.